This 253-nucleotide ribosomal RNA is filed under the name uncultured bacterium. RNAcentral's name for it is "partial 16S ribosomal RNA". It matches the Rfam family "Bacterial small subunit ribosomal RNA", at positions 524 to 776 of the family's 1533-position model. The record is from RNAcentral.
UACGUAGGGGGCAAGCGUUGUCCGGAAUUAUUGGGCGUAAAGAGCGUGUAGGCGGUUCGGUAAGUUUGCUGUAAAAGUCGGGGGCUCAACCCCCGAAAGCCGGUGAAUACUGUCGGACUAGAGUACGGAAGAGGCGAGUGGAAUUCCUGGUGUAGCGGUGAAAUGCGCAGAUAUCAGGAGGAACACCAAUUGCGAAGGCAGCUCGCUGGGACGUAACUGACGCUGAGACGCGAAAGCGUGGGGAGCAAACAGG